AGGUCGUAACAAGGUAUCCGUAGGUGAACCUGCGGAUGGAUCAUUACCAAUUUAUAUAUAUGUUAGUUUGUAUACCGCUGUCAAAGGGGGUUAUACACAACUACUAUGUAAACGUUGAACUAGAUCAAUUGGUGUGGAUUGCUUGGGAAUGGACGAAGCGAUGAGCCUCUUCCGGACAGGCAAGCCCCACACUGAUAACCUUUUUCAUAUCAUUUACUCGUAUAUACUACCACAACAACAAAAACAAAAGCUAUAAUAGGACUUAUUAACGGCUGAGUGGGUAACAUCCUCGGCUUAAACAUAUAACUAUUACAACUUUCAGCAAUGGAUCUCUAGGCUCUC
RNAcentral lists this unclassified non-coding RNA (342 nucleotides) under Ramicandelaber sp. Its description in RNAcentral is "partial internal transcribed spacer region". The stretch from base 1 to 46 matches the Rfam family "Eukaryotic small subunit ribosomal RNA", at positions 1786 to 1831 of the family's 1831-position model. The record is from RNAcentral. Lineage: Eukaryota; Fungi; Kickxellomycota; Ramicandelaberales; Ramicandelaberaceae.